GCCCAGGCAGAGUCUGGCCGGGGAGCAUGGCCCCUACGUCUGAGGGAGGCUCCAGUCCGUCCGCAGAGGACGAGGCCGUGGGUUCGAGAAAUCCUCGUAGUGCUUCCUAGAGUUAACGCGGGUAAGGAGCGGCCCAGCCCCCAGCCCCUCGGCCCGAUUCCUGGUUGGAGGCCCCUUAUUAAAGGGGCGAGCCCCCCAAAGCGGCGGCCCAGGCACGCGUCACUGCCAUCCGGUUGGCAAAGGUUGCCGGCAUUUUUCAUGGUUCUUGUUUUGUGCCCCGCACUGUGGAGUGACGUCCCUGGGGAGGGGGCGCGGCGGGAUGCAGUCCCCCCAGGCCUGUCCCCACCUGCCUCGCGCUAGGGUGCCUUGAGGAGCGCGACCUGGAGAGAAGACUUGCGGGUCCUCUUUCUUCUUACACUCACACUUUUGGGGUUCUGGUUUGGUUUGGAGCAAAGAACCCACAUAGUUCCAGAAUGUCUCAGGGUUCUCCUGAAGCUUCCUCACAGUCUGUGACCAUGCUGGCUUCCCCCGGCCAGAGCAUGACCCACACGGAUGGGGCGAGGGCCAGACUCGGGUUCCUGGCCACAAGGUCACUACGCAUCCGGGCAGGUUUCCUCUCUCCAUCCCCUCUUCAAUUGGUAGAGCCAGCUGCCACCUCUGAUGAUGGUGUCACCUUCCACAAUAAACUCACUCAUCUUCGAACCCAAGAGCUGCUCUUUAAUCCCUGGCCUUCCACCCUUGGGAAUUCGUGUCCUCACUUCCUUGCAAAACAGAUGCCCACCCUUCUCCUUAUUCCAUAGACUGUGCUCCUACACCCCCACCCCUCCCACUACUGCCGCGGGCCCUCCAGGGCACCAGGUGAGCAGAGGGCUGGCAUAGCAUCCACGUGCUCUCCUAGAGACUCAGCCUCUCAUUUGUGGCUCCACUGGGCCACACCCAGGUCUGCCCUGUCCCAGGAGGGGCAGAAGAACACAGCUUCCCCCAGCAGUGAAACAGAUCACUGAUCCUGUAGGACAGUGUGAAGAUAAAGUGAGAGUCCCCCUCUUUAAGUCGACAAAUAUUUAUCAACUAUCUAUUACAUUCCAGGCCCAGAAGCAUUACCAGUUCCAAGAUAUUUUGCAAAUAUUCUGGAACACAUUAGCAGAGGAAGGAGUAACUUUUGGGAGUGUUAUAAACAGGUGUGGCAGAGACCGCAGCGCUCACAAUAUUUGACACCUGUGCUCCUCUCGUCCUCCUGGGCAACCACUGGACCACACCCCCAGCCUCCCUACAGUCAGAUGGAGCCACUGACUGGGUUCCGGCCAAAGAAAUGGGAGCAGACAUAAUAUGUGCCACGUCCAGACCUGGCCCACAAAAACCUCCCACACAACACAAAAAUUAACAAAAUGGAUCACAGACCUAAAAGUAAAACAUAAAACUUUUAAGAAAAAACUGAAGAAAAUCUUUGGGAUCCAGGGCUAGUCAAACAGUUCUUAGGCUCGAUAGAAAAUCACAACCCAUAAAAGGAAAUAAAUGGAGAGAUUAGCUUUCAUGCAAAUUAAAAACCUUUGUUCUUAGAAAGGUCCUGUUAAGAAGACAAGUUACAGACUGGGAGAAAACAUGUUCACCCCGUAUUUCCAGAUAUCUAGAAUACAUAAAGAACUCUCAAAACUCAAUAAGCAAAAAGCAAACAAUCCAAUCAGAAAAUGGGCAAAAGACAUGAAGAGAGAGUCUACCAAAGAGGAUACAGAGAAGCUAAUGAGCCCAUGAAAAGGUGUGCAAUGUUACUAACCAGCAGGGAAACACAAAUUAAAAUGACAGAUAGCAUCACACACCUAUGGGAUUAGCUCAAAUGAAAAACAGUGGCAACACUAAUGCUGGUAGGGUGUGCAGAAAUGGCCUCCCUCACACAUUGCUGGUGGGCCUGUCCAAUGGUAGGCCAUACUGGGACAGUUUGGCAGUUAAAACGACAAAACAUGCAACUCUCUUCCACCCCAGCGGUUACGCUCCUGAGCACUUAUCUCAGAGAAAUGAAGACUUGUGUUCACACAAAGACCUCUAUAAAAAUGUUUACAGCAGCUUUAUUCAUAGUAGCCCAAAACUGGAAACAACCCAGGUCUCCUUCGGUGGGUGAAUGGCUAAACAACCGUGGUCCAGCCACACCACAGCAUACUAUUCAGGAACAAAAAAGAACAAACUAUUGCUACAUGUAACGACCUGGAAGAACCUCCAGAAAAUUAUGCUGAGUGAAAAUAAUCUCAAAAAGUUAUGUGAUGUAUGAUUCCACAUAUAUAUAGUAUUAUUGAAAUGACUAUAGAAAUGGAGAACAGAUUACUGGUUGCCGGGGCUUAAGGUGGCGAUGGAGGUAGGAAGGAAGCAGGUGUGGCUAUAAAGGGGCAACCUGAGGGAUCCUUGUGGUGAUGGCCCUGUUCUCUCUCCUGACUAUAUCUGUGUCAGCAUUGGCUAUGAUAUCGUAGUAAAACUUUGCAAGAUGUUACCAUUGGGGGAAACUGAGUGAAGGGUCCACAGGAUCUUUCUGUAUUAUUUCUUACAACUUCAUAUAAAUCUACAAUUGUCUCAAAAUAAAAAGUUUAAUUACUGCUCCCCCUACAAAUACUCCUCCUCCACAUGAUCUUUGCCCUUUCCCCCUCCACUGGACAGAUGGAGACACUCCAAGGACUUUGAGGAGGGCAAGGCACAAGAAGAAAGGGGUCUGGGUCCCUGAAUGGCCGUGUGGAGGAGAGUCAGCCCCUCGCUGCCCCGUACUGAGCUGAGAUGUAAUCAAGAAAAAGCUGUUUUUGUGUUAAACCACUGACAGCUGGGGACUGUUUGUUACUGCAGUCACUCCUUACCCUGCUAAUGUCACAUUGGAGGAUCUGGGAUUUUAACCCAAAUUCAGGCUUCACAGGGAACCGACAAGUAUGCUGAUUUUUCCAUGAAACAAACUAUUUUGAUUUCUGGUGCGAAGAAAUUACCCUAUCUUCCAUCUGUGUGAAAACCGGGGAUCACCUCCUGCCUUCAGCACUUUCUGGCUUUUCGAGUUUGAGUCCAUCACUGGACUUCCCAAAGCCUCACUCUCCCGACUGCAAGACUAGGGAAUUGGGAAGGUGGGUGCAUGUCUGUGGAAUGACGGAGCGCUCUGUGCACGCAGAGAUCUGGGGGUGUGUCCAGCAGCCUCCUCUUUGUUCUCCAACAAAGUUCAUCCAACUCCUCUGGCCUCCAGGUUCUUCUGUCUUAGCCCCAGAGAGACCUUCUUUAAAAAUGAACCUGAUCAGUUGCUUUAGUUGACAAAUAACCACAACAACAAUGACAGAAAGAAAGUAAUGCUAUUAUUAAUAGUGACAGCAUCAUUUAUCAACCACCUACUGUGUUCCUAGUGAUACUUGCAGGCAACCUGUCUACCCUCGGGCUCGUGCUGGCGUUUCCCCGACCCUCCAGGUGGGUGCUGCUCCACCACCCUGCUCCCCUUCACCUGGGCCCGCCGAGGCUGCUUCCUGCCCUUCUGGCAAGGUCUGUUGUGGUUCAGGAAGUGCAGCAGGGGCGCGAUAACGUUAGAUGGGUGAGUGGAUCCCUUCAUCUACCUUCUCGUCUUCUUACAUCUUGGUCUUGAUACGCUGGUGACAAAGGGACAUGGGCCUGCCUGGGCUUUGGAAAACAUAAGGAAUGCAGGACAGGUGGGUCCAUGCUGCAAAGGGUUUCUCGGUGUGCCAUGCAGGGAGGAUGCCUUGAUGGAGGGCCAGACACAGUGCUACUUCCUCCUGCCCCGUGGUCUUCACUUCUCUCUGGGGCCUUGGUAGGACCCCUCAGUCAUAGCCUUAGAUAGAGAACUGAAGUUGCAUCCUGGCAGCCUGCGGGCAUGCCCUCGCCCCCAGACACAGCGCUGUUUCCUUCGGCCGACACAGGGCAGGAGGGUGUGUGUAUGUAUUUAAAUUGACUUAGUUGCCAAUAGCUUAAACAUGGGAGACCUGUCAACUGCGGGCAGCCCCUUUGUGGCCAUGACUGGGGGAAGCUGCCACCUCUAGACUUGCAGGUGCCCUUCAAUUCAUCUGUCCCCACCUGCCUCUGCUAUGGAUGUCAUCUGUCUGGCCCUCAGAUGUUUGAGGCUGUGACCUCAGAAAGAGGGUGUAGAUGGGGCCUGGGUGUUACCAGCUCCUGAAUGGCUUUACGUGACAGGCACUGGGUGGAGUGCCUUGUAUACAUCAUCUUAGUCACAUAAAAUGUCCUUCUGCAGAAUAGGAAAUUCUGACGGGCUCUUCUUAGGAUGAGUUCCGAAAGCUGGGGGCCCAGACCUCAGUAAGGUCAGGAUGAAGUUUCCCUGGUUGUACCAGUUCUAUUGCCACGGUAACAAAUUACCACAAACUUAGUGGCUAGAAACAACACAAGUGUAUUAUCUUGCAGUUGUGUAGGUCCGAGGUCUUCCUGGGCUAAGGCGAGGUGUUGGCGGGGCUGUGCUCCUUUCUGGAGGCUCUGUGGAGAGUCCACUCCCUUUCCCAGCUUCUAGGGGCUGCCCUCUUUCUCCCUCUGUCUUCACAGCUGCGACAGUGGUGGAGUGCUGCUCACAUCACGCCACCCCAACGUCCUCUCCUGCCUCCUCCUUCCACUGAUGAUCACGCUGGACUCAUGAUUCCACUGGGCCCAUCUGGAUGACCGACGAUAAUCUCCCCAUCUGACAGUCUGCUCGUGAGCAGCCUUAAUUCCACCGGCUGCCUCAGCUCCCUUUUGCCACGUCAGGGAGCAUACUCACAGGUUCCGGGGAGUAGGAAGUGGCCCUCAUACCUACCACACUGGUCCACGGCAGAAUGACAAAAAUGACAGUGUGCCGCUUUUCCCAUGAAGACAGUUUUUAAAAUUAUAAUUUUAAAAUGAUAUGCCUCUGAAUGUAUGCCUUCUCACUUUGGGGGGAUGGGCUGUUAAAUAUGAAAUGUAUCAAGUAUGAAAUGUCCUUUCGAGAAAAAAAGGAAAAGUUGGAAAACUGCAGUUUUCCUGGUCCAUGAAGUUCCAACUUGUGGGAAACGAUACUUUGGGCUAAGUAGUCCCACAGACGCACUCCCCAGAGCAUCACAGGCACGUGCCAGAGGCUGGCAGCUCGGGGUGCUGCUGCAGGCCUGGGGUCCUCCACGUUAUGGAAAUAUGAGGGUGCCAAUGACAGGUGCUUCUGAUCCCGUUCCGAUCGGCUCCCUGAUCAGGACACAUGUUGGGCUGAGGCGUGGGGCCCAGGCUGUCAGCAACCACAAGGUAGCCACAAGAGGUAGGCUCCUGUGACAUGUGUCACCCUCCAUCGCUGACAGGUGGGCCAAGGGGGACGUGUAUACACAUAUGCUUAUCUGAGUCUGGUGAGGUUCCAUGGAUGGGAUAAGAGGGCUGUGUGGUCUUUGACAAGUCAUUCAACCUCUCUGAGCCUGUUUCUGCAUCAUCAAUAAAAUACAGAGCAUAACACCUUCCUCAUGGGGCUUAUGAGGCUAAUGAGAUCCUAAAUGAGAAGAACUUCAUGUAGUCCACACAAAGAUUCUAUAUUUUAAAUAAACAAAGACCAGUUUUUACCUUACCUUGUGGAAAAUACUCUUCACAUGUUUGAGGGUUAAAAAUUACUGUAAUCUUUAAUAUAAUGUUUCAUGGUUUUUGCUGUUGUCAUUUUUCUUAGAGAAACAAGUUAAACCAGAAGCAACUUUAAAAAAUCUUCUAAGUCUGGUGGGCGUGUCCAAUGGUUUUGAUGUCAAGAUGAUGACAAAUUCUCUCCAGAGAUGGUAUAAAAUCCAACCAUUGACAAGCAGAAAUUCCUGGAAUCUUCUACCACUCUACAGCACUAGUCUAAAAGAACACAGCUUUUAGAACUAAACUGGGAUCCAUCCAUGGCAACAGGUGCAGAGGAACCCAAGGAGAAUGAAGGUCAGGAGAGAGGGGGACGCAUGAAGCCCGUUACACUUUUCCGUGUCCUUCGGCAUUUGUUCUGUGACCACUGUGGAGCACAGUGCCUCGGGCUCAGCCCUUGCCCCCUCUUCCUUCUGGCUUACUUGCGUGAUCUACGGGGCUGGCCAGUAAACAGCUUUACCAGACUCUCCUGCACCUGAGCUUCUGCACGUGAGUUUGAGUGUGACAGGUGUGGAAAAUGAGAGUGAGGCGGGUCAGCAUCUGCAGUUUCUGGGCAGGCUGGUGGACAUCAGGAGGCACAGGGGCCUUCUGUUUCACUGGGAUGGCUAUAGUGAGCAGCUACGAUUUCUGGAGACUGAAGCAGGUGUGGCUGGUCCUGAUUCCAGAGAGGCAGCAGUGCCCUGGCAGCUGGUUCUGCAGGGGAGCUUUGGGAACCAUCCCUGAAAGCUCUGCCUAGAGGUGGUUUUCAGCCCUCCCACUUAUUCUAGAAGCCAUUUUGCUGAAUGAAGCCCAACUCACACUAGCUGGAGUGGAGUCUGUUCUCUGCAGCUGAGCCUGCACUGCUCCUGCUGUUCCACAGGACCUGUCCGGUGAGCAUCUGCUGUGAGCCCACACUGUGCUGCGCAAGAAGGGGCCCUCAGGGAAGCACUGGAACAGCUCGCAAAGUGCUGCGCUGAAGCUAAGUUAAUCCUCUCCAUAGCCAUGUGAGCUAAGAAUUAUUUUCACUCCUCUCAGACAGAAGAGGAAACUGAGUCACAGGGGGAUUAAAAAACUUACCUGAGAUCACUGAGACAGAAAGAGGCCAAGCCAGGCUGCAGUCUGGCUCCAGGGCACAAGUCUCCAUCGCCACCCUCUACUACCUGCCUGUGGGGUCUGUGGUCCAGGCAGAGUCCAAAGGUUGGUCAGAUGUCUCAUUUCUUUUGCAGAGAAUAAAACCAAACACCAUAAGUAUGCAGUUAUGAAGUGGGCUGUUUUGUGACUCUUUGAUUUUGUUCAUCUUAAUUUGAGGGUUUAUCAAUCAGACCUGAGAGAUUUCAAACCUGAACUCAAACAAGGGACCACAGAGAUCUCUCUCCUAUCGUGUUUUCCACGUGGAGCAUCCCCACUCUCUCCCCCAGCCUUCUACAGCAUCAUCCCUCAGCAGAAUGAUAGUCCACAAGUAGCCUGUGUAGCUCUCAGAAACUGAUUUCUUACAUCCUACAUUUGAAGUCUGGAAUAUUAACCAAAUAGUGCUACCACCAAGGACAUGUUCAGUCUGUCCCUAAAGAGGGCUGGGAGUGUGGCUCACACUCACCAUGUAGUUCUUGCUUUCUUUGUAGGGGAGAUUAGCAGGCAAAAUUGCUUUUCUCUACUCCUCCACAGAGAUAAUUUAUCACUAUUGAAGAGUGGUAUGCUUCUCUACUUGCUUGGUUUGGAAUUGCAGCAGACAUCCAAACUUUUGCAAAAUUCCAUUGCUUUCUGCAUGGAAUGCAACUCAACGCAUCGAUGUCUUCCAUAGAGCAGAGCCAGAGCCAUGUUAGUAAUGGAAUCCUCAGAGCCCGCUGACACCCAGAGCCUUGCUGUUGACGGCCUCAGUUGCUCAAGUGCACGAUUGCACUUUACAGGUCUAAGGUCUUCCCUCAACCCCCGCCCUGCUCCAUCCAGCACAAGAAGAUGCAGUGCUCACUUGAUGGAAUUAAAACAUGCCAAAACCCCACAAAAGAAUGCAGGCUGGGUGUAGCACUCAUCUGCUAAGUAUGAAAUCUUUCCCUGAGUGAGUUCUCCACAAAUCAGGUCAGUCCCGACAGCCGACACUACCUUAGGCAGGGAGGGGCCGACGGCGCCAUUAAAAACUCCUGCCAGCGCUUGCCUCAGACAAUGUAAAUACAAAACUGGUGCUUGUGUUUAUUUAAAGUUAUUGGCAUUGGGCUCAUUCCUGGUAGACAAAGAUUAUAUUGUUUACAACAGCAUCCAGAUGAUGGACAAGACUUUGUAUAAUAUAAAUCGAACUAUGCAGGGGGGGCACCCCUUAGCAUAAACAACUUCCCUCAAGCAAAACAAAUCCUGCCAAGAUUCAAGCUGGAAUCCAUUUAUUACCCGACUUCAAGCUGACUUGUUUCAACAUUCAGCAACUGCAAAAGCAGAAGGAUAAGAACUGAUGUCCGAGGCAUUACCAGCCAGUCCUUUAACUUCUAACGCUUUUUGCAAAAGGUGUUUCUUGCUUUGUCAUGUUGCAAUGUACAUUUCCUGCAAAUGCUGUCAUUCUUGUCACUUCACAGCAUGGUGUGGCGGUGGACCAUGCAUGCAUAUAGAAGGUGAGCAGGAGCAAGGGGACACCCUGAAGAGUGCCACUGUCCUUUCAAAAGCAUUUGGGGGGCUGGCCCCCUGGCCGAGUGGUUAAGUUCGCGCGCGCUCCGCUGCAGGCGGCGUAGUGUUUCGUUGGUUUGAAUCCUGGGCGGGGACAUGACGCUGCUCAUCAAACCACGCUGAGGCAGCGUCCCACAUGCCACAAGUAGAAGGACCCACAACGAAGAAUAUGCAACUAUGUGCUGGGGGGCUUUGGGGAGAAAAAGGAAAAAAUAAAAUCUUUAAAAAAAAAAAAAAAGCAUUUGGCUCGGGUGUAAACCCAGAAUCGGGAAACAUAGUGAGGGUAAGGACACAGAGACAGAUAUUCAGACUUAGGGGUGAACGUACAGAGCUCCAGCGGACGCCAAAGCCUGCCAUGAGCCCUGUGGCUGCUGGGAUUCGGCCUUGCCUGGAAUUGGGGACAGGGCCUUGUUGAGAUUUAUUCACUUGGGAGCCGAAGGGCCUCCUGGGAAAGACUAACCCGAGUGAAGGCAGAAUCUAGCUACAAGACAGCCAGAGACUGUGAGUCGGCGGCAAAGGCCCUCGCAGGAACAAUCGUGCCUGGGAACACUGACCCCGAGAAGAAGGGGGUGUGCACAUGGGAAGGAGGAACAGCGGCGGUGAAGGUCACAGGGGGAGGCACCCAAGGAGUGAAGACACUGGGUGUGUGGUGAGGGAACACACAGGAGGAGGAUCUGGACGCUGCCUCAGCACUGGGGGCAGCGAGUGAGCGUCUAAAGCGAGCGCCUCGCUCCAGCUCCGCGCAGGAGACGGGAUCGAGGGAGGGAGGGCGGCCGGUGCGCUCAGACGCCCGCGUCCCUUCGGAGCCCUCUCCCUUCUCCGUGUGUGUCUCCGUCGGGUUAGGACUGUCUUUCCCUCAGGGCCCGCGGGGUGCUGCACACGGUGGGAUUCCGUGUCGUGGAGGGACUCCCUCGCUCCGUCGGCCCGCUUGCCCCCUGCUCUCCGCGGCUGCGCCAUCUUCCUCGCCCCCUUGGGGCGGCCGGCCUUCUGAGUGCCCGUCUUGGUUAUUUACAGGCUGUUAUGACUCCACCCUUUGGAAAAACCUCUCUGAAGCCGCAAGUCACGCACAGAAGCCACGUUCACCCCGUGUCCUCAUUGGCCCGAACCAGUCCCGCGCCUACGUUGAGACCUUUGGCAUCUGAAGACAGGUCACUGAAUUGCUGCCCCAGGGGAUGACGUGUCUGGUGAUCUGGCCUCUGGAAUGUCCCAGCUGAGACAUUGAGACCUCCUCCCACCUUGCUCGGCCUGCUGAACUCUGCUGACAGCAUUUACCCCACGUAGAGCAGGAGGGAUAACGUCAGAAUUUGAAAACAACCCUCUACUGCCCUUGGCUGUCUCAUUUUCUGUGGACUGAGGAAAGUUUGUCACCAGCUCGUCUCUGCAAACUGGGGCUCCUUUGCCUGAACACUGAGGGCAUCUGCACGGCCUGCAGGUGGAAGUCUACUCAGAAGUGCUGCCAGGGCUCUAAGGGCACCCUGAGGAAAGCAAGUGCAAAAGUCUCUCAGUAUCUUGCCUCAGUUUCCAAUAUUAAUAACUGUGUGCUGAGUGCUAGCAGCCAGAAACGGUACUAUUGCUUUAAAGAGAAGUAAAAAAGACAAGUUGUGGCAAAUAGAAUCAUGAGAACCUGAAUCUGGAAGGUUUUUACUAAUGCUCUCACCCCUGUGGUUUUCAGGUUAGCGCUCCACGGAGCUCCAGCAGUACUGCUGGAACCAAUGCACCUCCGUUUUGUUUCAAAUAAUUGAGCUUCCAAUUACGAUAGAGAUCGAUUGCUUAAAAAAAUGCUUGAACACACUGAGCCAGUACACCUCAAAUUUAAAGGGGAAAGUGAGGCUGAAAGAAGCCCUGGGAUUUGCCUGGAGCCACCUAUUUAGUUGGCACAACUUGGCAGCACACCACCAGUGGGGUGGGGUAGGAAGGAUUCCUAUUGUCGACCUUUCAUAGUGUCUGUUCCCACGUCCAUCAAUGGCUGAGGCAAAUCUUCC
Molecule: long non-coding RNA, 10175 nt
Filed under: Equus caballus (horse)
Lineage: Eukaryota; Metazoa; Chordata; Mammalia; Perissodactyla; Equidae
Description: lncRNA (ENSECAG00000038177.3)
Source: RNAcentral